Molecule: non-coding RNA, 185 nt
Filed under: Bacillus sp. (in: firmicutes)
Lineage: Bacteria; Bacillati; Bacillota; Bacilli; Caryophanales; Bacillaceae
Also listed under: 1 other name
Source: RNAcentral
AAACGAUUAUGUUUUAAAAGUGCCUUAUGCGUUUAAGGAUAAUAGGGAAAUCGGUGGAAAUCCGAUGCAGCCCCCGCUACUGUAAGUGUGGAUGAACCUGCAACAAACUGCUAGCAAUGAGCUAGGAAGGUGCAGAAGUAAAGUGAAGCACAAGCCAGGAGACCUGCUUUUAAACAUUAACUCUU